GUUAGGAUUGUUUUCAUGUUUUUUUUUUCUUUCUUUUUUUUUUUGAAGCAGUUGAGACCUGUGAUGAAGACAUAAUUUAUGCUGAUCCCAUUUUUCUCAAAAGAAAAUGACAAAUCGCAACUGAGAACCACUGGAGGACUGCUUGAUCUGCUUGAUGAGCAGAAACUCACUCUGUGCCAAAACCAACUAACGGGAAACUGAAGGCUUCAGGAAAUGAAAGUGACACCAAUGCACAUUUCUUCUUGUUUGCAUGACAGUCCAUGAGCAAAUGCAUUUUUUAAAUCAUCAAACCUGCUUUACAACACCAUGGUGGCAUUUACACCAUCCAUCACUUUUGGUUCUUUUUCCAUUUU
Molecule: long non-coding RNA, 353 nt
Organism: Cyprinus carpio (common carp)
Lineage: Eukaryota; Metazoa; Chordata; Actinopteri; Cypriniformes; Cyprinidae
Exons: 3
Source: RefSeq, a predicted model, not a curated record